GAUGAACGCUGGCGGCGUGCUUAACACAUGCAAGUCGAACGAUGAAGCUCAGCUUGCUGGGUGGAUUAGUGGCGAACGGGUGAGUAACACGUGAGUAACCUGCCCUUAACUCUGGGAUAAGCCUGGGAAACUAGGUCUAAUACCGGAUAGGAGCGCCUACCGCAUGGUGGGUGUUGGAAAGAUUUAUCGGUUUUGGAUGGACUCGCGGCCUAUCAGCUUGUUGGUGAGGUAAUGGCUCACCAAGGCGACGACGGGUAGCCGGCCUGGGAGGGUGACCGGCCACACUGGGACUGAGACACGGCCCAGACUCCUACGGGAGGCAGCAGUGGGGAAUAUUGCACAAUGGGCGAAAGCCUGAUGAAGCGACGCCGCGUGAGGGAUGACGGCCUUCGGGUUGUAAACCUCUUUCAGUAGGGAAGAAGCGAAAGUGACGGUACCUGCAGAAGAAGCACCGGCUAACUACGUG
RNAcentral lists this ribosomal RNA (466 nucleotides) under uncultured bacterium. Its description in RNAcentral is "partial 16S ribosomal RNA". It matches the Rfam family "Bacterial small subunit ribosomal RNA", at positions 28 to 507 of the family's 1533-position model. The record is from RNAcentral.